Molecule: ribosomal RNA, 1820 nt
Filed under: Ustilaginoidea virens
Lineage: Eukaryota; Fungi; Ascomycota; Sordariomycetes; Hypocreales; Clavicipitaceae
Description: SSU rRNA
Rfam family: Eukaryotic small subunit ribosomal RNA
Source: RNAcentral
UAAUUACGGCGAAACUGCGAAUGGCUCAUUAUAUAAGUUAUCGUUUAUUUGAUAGUAUCUUGCUACUUGGAUAACCGUGGUAAUUCUAGAGCUAAUACAUGCUAAAAAUCCCGACUUCGGAAGGGAUGUAUUUAUUAGAUUAAAAACCAAUGCCCUCUGGGCUCUCUUGGUGAAUCAUGAUAACUUCUCGAAUCGCAGGGCCUUGCGCCGGCGAUGGUUCAUUCAAAUUUCUUCCCUAUCAACUUUCGAUGUUUGGGUAGUGGCCAAACAUGGUUGCAACGGGUAACGGAGGGUUAGGGCUCGACCCCGGAGAAGGAGCCUGAGAAACGGCUACUACAUCCAAGGAAGGCAGCAGGCGCGCAAAUUACCCAAUCCCGAUCCGGGGAGGUAGUGACAAUAAAUACUGAUACAGGGCUCUUUUGGGUCUUGUAAUUGGAAUGAGUACAAUUUAAAUCCCUUAACGAGGAACAAUUGGAGGGCAAGUCUGGUGCCAGCAGCCGCGGUAAUUCCAGCUCCAAUAGCGUAUAUUAAAGUUGUUGUGGUUAAAAAGCUCGUAGUUGAACCUUGGGCCUGGCUGGCCGGUCCGCCUCACCGCGUGCACUGGUCCGGCCGGGCCUUUCCCUCUGUGGAACCCCAUGCCCUUCACUGGGUGUGGCGGGGAAACAGGACUUUUACUUUGAAAAAAUUAGAGUGCUCCAGGCAGGCCUAUGCUCGAAUACAUUAGCAUGGAAUAAUGAAAUAGGACGUGCGGUUCUAUUUUGUUGGUUUCUAGGACCGCCGUAAUGAUUAAUAGGGACAGUCGGGGGCAUCAGUAUUCAAUUGUCAGAGGUGAAAUUCUUGGAUUUAUUGAAGACUAACUACUGCGAAAGCAUUUGCCAAGGAUGUUUUCAUUAAUCAGGAACGAAAGUUAGGGGAUCGAAGACGAUCAGAUACCGUCGUAGUCUUAACCAUAAACUAUGCCGACUAGGGAUCGGACGAUGUUAUUUUUUGACUCGUUCGGCACCUUACGAGAAAUCAAAGUGCUUGGGCUCCAGGGGGAGUAUGGUCGCAAGGCUGAAACUUAAAGAAAUUGACGGAAGGGCACCACCAGGGGUAAACCUGACCUGUGAAGCCGCAGUCAACUCUGCUCCAGAAAGCCGCCCGAAAGGGUCGGUGGUGUUCCUAGGGGAGAGCUCUCCCCUAAACUAAUGGCUAGUCCUGCCGCCCGCGGCAGGGCGACACCCUCAAACUGACGGGGAACUCCUAAAGCCCUCGCUCCGGACAGGCGUCGGGAAACCGACGGCCUGCUCACCAGGCUAACGACCUCGGGUAUCGGAAGCAACGCGAGAGGAUGCUACAAUGGACAAUCCGCAGCCAAGCCCCUACGGUGCGGCCUCUACGGGGGUCGCAUACGGGGAAGGUUCAGAGACUUGACGGGGGUGGGUGGCGCGGGCUCUUGGGGUGCAAGCCGCGUGCUUGCUUGCAGGCCCAGGCGCCCGCCGCUGCCUAAGAUAAAGUCCGGGCGUGCGCGAAAGCGUGCGCGGCAACCACGCAACCCGCCGUUUCCAGCGGGUGCGAGGCCCCAGAAGUAAAAACAACCGGGAGCCUGCGGCUUAAUUUGACUCAACACGGGGAAACUCACCAGGUCCAGACACAAUGAGGAUUGACAGAUUGAGAGCUCUUUCUUGAUUUUGUGGGUGGUGGUGCAUGGCCGUUCUUAGUUGGUGGAGUGAUUUGUCUGCUUAAUUGCGAUAACGAACGAGACCUUAACCUGCUAAAUAGCCCGUAUUGCUUUGGCAGUACGCCGGCUUCUUAGAGGGACUAUCGGCUUCAAAGGCCCA